This 900-nucleotide ribosomal RNA is filed under the name Sphingobacterium sp. RS-BGM-24. Its description in RNAcentral is "bacterial SSU rRNA". It matches the Rfam family "Bacterial small subunit ribosomal RNA", at positions 77 to 979 of the family's 1533-position model. The record is from RNAcentral. Lineage: Bacteria; Pseudomonadati; Bacteroidota; Sphingobacteriia; Sphingobacteriales; Sphingobacteriaceae.
GCUCUGAUUCCAUGAGAGUGGCGCACGGGUGCGUAACGCGUGAGCAACCUACCUCUAUCAGGGGGAUAGCCUCUCGAAAGAGAGAUUAACACCGCAUAACAUCAACAGUUCGCAUGUUCUGUUGAUUAAAUAUUUAUAGGAUAGAGAUGGGCUCGCGUGACAUUAGCUAGUUGGUAGGGUAACGGCUUACCAAGGCGACGAUGUCUAGGGGCUCUGAGAGGAGAAUCCCCCACACUGGUACUGAGACACGGACCAGACUCCUACGGGAGGCAGCAGUAAGGAAUAUUGGUCAAUGGGCGGAAGCCUGAACCAGCCAUGCCGCGUGCAGGAUGACUGCCCUAUGGGUUGUAAACUGCUUUUGUCCAGGAAUAAACCUCUUUACGUGUAAAGAGCUGAAUGUACUGGAAGAAUAAGGAUCGGCUAACUCCGUGCCAGCAGCCGCGGUAAUACGGAGGAUCCGAGCGUUAUCCGGAUUUAUUGGGUUUAAAGGGUGCGUAGGCGGCCUAUUAAGUCAGGGGUGAAAUACGGUGGCUCAACCAUCGCAGUGCCUUUGAUACUGAUGGGCUUGAAUCCAUUUGAAGUGGGCGGAAUAAGACAAGUAGCGGUGAAAUGCAUAGAUAUGUCUUAGAACUCCGAUUGCGAAGGCAGCUCACUAAGCUGGUAUUGACGCUGAUGCACGAAAGCGUGGGGAUCGAACAGGAUUAGAUACCCUGGUAGUCCACGCCCUAAACGAUGAUAACUCGAUGUUGGCGAUAGACAGCCAGCGUCUUAGCGAAAGCGUUAAGUUAUCCACCUGGGGAGUACGCCCGCAAGGGUGAAACUCAAAGGAAUUGACGGGGGCCCGCACAAGCGGAGGAGCAUGUGGUUUAAUUCGAUGAUACGCGAGGAACCUUACCCGGG